UACAGAGGGGGCAAGCGUUGUUCGGAAUUACUGGGCGUAAAGGGCGCGUAGGCGGCCUGUUAAGUCGAACGUGAAAUCCCCGGGCUCAACCCGGGAACUGCGUCCGAAACUGGCAGGCUUGAAUCCGGGAGAGGGAUGUGGAAUUCCAGGUGUAGCGGUGAAAUGCGCAGAUAUCAGGAGGAACACCAAUUGCGAAGGCAGCUCGCUGGGACGUUACUGACGCUGAGACGCGAAAGCGUGGGGAGCAAACAGG
This 253-nucleotide ribosomal RNA is filed under the name uncultured bacterium. RNAcentral describes it as "partial 16S ribosomal RNA". It matches the Rfam family "Bacterial small subunit ribosomal RNA", at positions 524 to 776 of the family's 1533-position model. The record is from RNAcentral.